UCAGAAUCGUAAUAUGGUCACAUUGCCACGUGCAUUCUUUCACUUCUUUUUUUCACUCAAAAUGGACGGUCGAGUUUUCUGCUUUGAUUCUCAACUAAAAUUUAAUAAGAUGGAUGAUGUGCGGUAGCAGGAACAAUCUCUGAAAAUAGCAAUGGAAAAGAACAAUUUUCAAGGUUUUCUACCACAUUUAUCCACACGUGUCCAAAAGUAAGAUUCCAUUUGAAAGUGUAUUAAAAUGCACAUGGCUUACGAGAAGAUAGACGGAAGCAAAAUAAGAUGAGCAGAAAAAGGUGCUCACGAAUGCCUGAGAAAUGGAAAUGUUUAGAACUAAAUUCAGAGAUCUUGGUUGGACUGCGUAACAAUAAUGGGCACAUCAGAAAAUGAGUAACAAAACUCCAAAUUGUUUUCAAUUGACCGAAAUAUGCAAUCCACUAAACCAUCUGGAUUUCUUCUCAGAACAAUGGCUACCAAUGGAAACUAGAAGUGCAGACGAAUUCGGGAUUAUAAGAAAUAUCUUGUUCUCUCGUUGUAUUGCACACGAAAAAUCGUUUUCCGGCUAUGUAGUUUGACGGCAAAGCAAGGAGAAAUGCGUAAAUAUCAUCAUAAAAUUUCAUGAAAAAAUGAUAUCUGCGCACUAAAUCAAUCAAGCUUUGAAGGAAUUUAGGUGAUUAGAAAGCAUUAUGCGAAAAAUCAGUAUUUGGUUCUAUCGGUACCUCAACCUUAUCUUAUUUGAUCAAUAACAAAAAAAGAUUCACAAAGAUAGGAACAUUUCCAAAUUAUACCCAGUGGAGGAUGCCUUAAAAAGUUUUAAGAUAUUCACACUUUCUGAAGUACACAAAUAGCAAUUGAUUUUUAGUACAAGAUACUCACACUUUCUGAAGUACAUAAACAUCAAUUGAUUUUUAGUACAAGAUAUCUUAGGAUUGCCAGUGGAGCAGAAUAUUUACCCGUCAACCUUAUUAAGACUUCACCAUUUAUUGGAUCGAUCUUAUCGAGUUGCUAAAACAUCCAUUAACGUAGAAAUGCUUAAAAGGCUACCUGGCUUUAGGCUUUGUGAAUCAACUGAACUUUGUGGUAUCAUGCGGAUUGCGAAGAUCAAACACCUCACUCUGAACUCUGAAAACCAAACUGUUGUAGUCAUUUGAAGAAAUAAAAACUCAAGAGAUACUGUUUAAUAUAA
This is a long non-coding RNA of Drosophila yakuba, 1180 nucleotides long. RefSeq lists it as uncharacterized. NCBI's taxonomy places the organism in Eukaryota, Metazoa, Arthropoda, Insecta, Diptera, Drosophilidae. The transcript is spliced from 18 exons. The record is from RefSeq and is a predicted model, not a curated record.